CCUACGGGAGGCAGCAGUAGGGAAUCUUUCACAAUGGGCGAAAGCCUGAUGGAGCAACGCCGCGUGCAGGAUGAAGGCCUUCGGGUUGUAAACUGCUUUUAUAAGCGAGAAAUAUGAUGGUAACUUAUGAAUAAGGAUCGGCUAACUACGUGCCAGCAGCCGCGGUCAUACGUAGGAUCCGAGCAUUAUCCGGAGUGACUGGGUGUAAAGAGUUGCGUAGGUGGCAUAAUAAGUAGCUAGUGGAAUCUGGUGGCUCAACCAUUCAGACUAUUAGCUAAACUGUUAAGCUGGAGACCGUUAGGGGUAAGUGGAAUUUCUAGUGUAGGAGUGAAAUGCGUAGAUAUUAGAAAGAACACCAAUAGCGAAGGCAGGUUACUGGGACGUUUCUGACACUAAGGCACGAAAGUGUAGGGAGCAAACGGGAUUAGAUACCCCUGUAGUC
RNAcentral lists this ribosomal RNA (442 nucleotides) under uncultured bacterium. RNAcentral describes it as "partial 16S ribosomal RNA". It matches the Rfam family "Bacterial small subunit ribosomal RNA", at positions 338 to 795 of the family's 1533-position model. The record is from RNAcentral.